Glycine soja is the source of this 622-nucleotide long non-coding RNA. RefSeq lists it as uncharacterized. Lineage: Eukaryota; Viridiplantae; Streptophyta; Magnoliopsida; Fabales; Fabaceae. The transcript has 3 exons. The record is from RefSeq and is a predicted model, not a curated record.
UUUGUCCUUGUUUUUGUCUUUCUUAUUUUGAGGCAUUUUGGGUGUUGCAUUAUGUGUUAUGCUCUUCUAAUGCAUGCAGGCUGCAAGGAAUGCUGGUGUGCGGGUAUUGUUGAAUUUUGUUGAUAUUUUGAGUCCUAAUGAAACUGAACUUGCUCGCCUUACUGGAUUGCCAACGGAGAGUUUUGAAGAGAUUACACAAGCGGCUUUGAAAUGCCAUGAAAUGCUGCUGCAGCUUGUCUUUGUGUUCAAGUGAAGGGAGCCUCUCCCUGCAUGCCUGAUAGGAAAUCUGUUUUGGAUCUUCUUAAUUGUCAAUGAUAAUACUUGCAAAAGGAGAUACGAACCAGUGAAGAUUUUGGAUCACACAUCUUGUUUCAAUGACUGAUAAUGUUCCCACUUUUGGAUGUCAGAGGUCACAAUUCGGACUAUCAGGUGUAAGGCAGAGGGAAAGACCCUUGAAAUGGCAGCAAGGAAAGUUAAAAUCCUUUUACAGAGUAUUUGUACAUGAUGGAUUCUUCAUCAUAAUAGUUUGUUGUCAUUGUAAUAAGAUUAGGCCAAACACUUACCCUUUGGCAAUGGAAGGAAAAUGAAAAGAGAAAAAAGAAAAGAAAAAUGUUUUACAUGA